ACACGAAAGAAUAGCUUUCUGUUGGCUUC
Molecule: non-coding RNA, 29 nt
Filed under: Rattus norvegicus (Norway rat)
Lineage: Eukaryota; Metazoa; Chordata; Mammalia; Rodentia; Muridae
Source: RNAcentral